RNAcentral lists this ribosomal RNA (465 nucleotides) under uncultured Allobrachymonas sp. Its description in RNAcentral is "bacterial SSU rRNA". It matches the Rfam family "Bacterial small subunit ribosomal RNA", at positions 910 to 1382 of the family's 1533-position model. The record is from RNAcentral. Lineage: Bacteria; Pseudomonadati; Pseudomonadota; Betaproteobacteria; Burkholderiales; Comamonadaceae.
UUGACGGGGACCCGCACAAGCGGUGAUGAUGUGUUUAAUUCGAUGCAACGCGAAAAACCUUACCCACCUUUGACAUGGCAGGAAUCCUGAAGAGAUUUGGGAGUGCUCGAAAGAGAACCUGCACACAGGUGCUGCAUGGCUGUCGUCAGCUCGUGUCGUGAGAUGUUGGGUUAAGUCCCGCAACGAGCGCAACCCUUGCCAUUAGUUGCUACGAAAGGGCACUCUAAUGGGACUGCCGGUGACAAACCGGAGGAAGGUGGGGAUGACGUCAAGUCCUCAUGGCCCUUAUAGGUGGGGCUACACACGUCAUACAAUGGCCGGUACAGAGGGUAGCCAACCCGCGAGGGGAGCCAAUCCCACAAAGCCGGUCGUAGUCCGGAUCGCAGUCUGCAACUCGACUGCGUGAAGUCGGAAUCGCUAGUAAUCGCGGAUCAGCAUGUCGCGGUGAAUACGUUCCCGGGCCUU